CCCACCACUAGGACAAACAUAAACCUUUUGUAAUUGCAAUCAGCGUCAGUAACAAAUUAAUAAUUACAACUUUCAACAACGGAUCUCUUGGUUCUGGCAUCGAUGAAGAACGCAGCGAAAUGCGAUAAGUAGUGUGAAUUGCAGAAUUCAGUGAAUCAUCGAAUCUUUGAACGCACAUUGCGCCCUUUGGUAUUCCAAAGGGCAUGCCUGUUCGAGCGUCAUUUGUACCCUCAAGCUUUGCUUGGUGUUGGGCGUCUUGUCUCUAGCUUUGCUGGAGACUCGCCUUAAAGUAAUUGGCAGCCGGCCUACUGGUUUCGGAGCGCAGCACAAGUCGCACUCUCUAUCAGCAAAGGUCUAGCAUCCAUUAAGCCUUUUUUUUCAACUUUUGACCUCGGAUCAGGUAGGGAUACCCGCUGAACUUAAGCAUAUCAAUAAGCGGAGGAA
This 444-nucleotide ribosomal RNA is filed under the name uncultured organism. RNAcentral's name for it is "eukaryotic LSU rRNA". The stretch from base 68 to 221 matches the Rfam family "5.8S ribosomal RNA". The record is from RNAcentral.